AAAUCAACUUUAUAACGGCGUAAAGAGUGGUAACAUGCUAUCCAAGUAACUAAGAUUAAAAAGCAACUGAGCUGUCGCAAGCCCAAGAUGCGUAUAAGGCCUCCAUUCAAAGAAGAUCUUAGACCAACGACCAAUUGAAAUCCACGAAAGCCAGGGCCCAAACUGGGAUUAGAUACCCCACUAUGCCUGGCCCUAAAUCUUGAUGCUCAACCUUACCGGAGCAUCCGCCCGAGAACUACGAGCGCAAACGCUUAAAACUCUAAGGACUUGGCGGUGUCCCAAACCCACCUAGAGGAGCCUGUUCUGUAAUCGAUGAUCCACGAUAUACCUGACCAUUCCUUGCCACAAACAGCCUAUAUACCGCCGUCGCCAGCCCACCCACAGUGAAGGACCAACA
This 397-nucleotide ribosomal RNA is filed under the name Arundinax aedon (thick-billed warbler). RNAcentral's name for it is "partial 12S ribosomal RNA". It matches the Rfam family "Bacterial small subunit ribosomal RNA", at positions 542 to 1045 of the family's 1533-position model. The record is from RNAcentral. Lineage: Eukaryota; Metazoa; Chordata; Aves; Passeriformes; Sylviidae.